AUGUCCUUGUUCGCCAUUCAGCACGAAAGGCAGGGCACUCCCCCGAGCCAUACGAUCCACCACCGCCUCCACCACCAAAUCCGCCCUCUACCAAGCAAAUUUUACGCAUGUUUACGGAAAUAA
This 123-nucleotide ribosomal RNA is filed under the name Triticum aestivum (bread wheat). Its description in RNAcentral is "partial small subunit ribosomal RNA". Lineage: Eukaryota; Viridiplantae; Streptophyta; Magnoliopsida; Poales; Poaceae. The record is from RNAcentral.